Molecule: long non-coding RNA, 226 nt
Filed under: Gossypium barbadense (sea-island cotton)
Lineage: Eukaryota; Viridiplantae; Streptophyta; Magnoliopsida; Malvales; Malvaceae
Description: long non-coding RNA (GBAR_LNC004605)
Source: RNAcentral
GUACCCUUCACACGGUUGAGACACACGGUCGUGUCUCUGCCCGUGUGUUUACUACCAUGCAUACUGACUUACAAUUCUUACGCGCCGGGACACAUAACCAUAUCACACGCUCAUUUGGUGAACCGUGUGUCACAUACAGCCUAGACACAUGCCCGUGUGCCUACCCAUGUAGACAAAAUAAGGCUAUUUACUAAGCCUUUUGGUCACCCUUACUUAUGUAACCUGC